GCCCGGGUGGUGAAAUUGGUAGACACAGGAGACUUAAAAUCUCCCGACUGGAAGCAGUCGUACCGGUUCAAUUCCGGUCCCGGGCACCA
This 89-nucleotide transfer RNA is filed under the name Halioglobus sp. RNAcentral's name for it is "tRNA-Leu". It matches the Rfam family "tRNA". From Rfam's summary of the family: Transfer RNA (tRNA) molecules are approximately 80 nucleotides in length. Their secondary structure includes four short double-helical elements and three loops (D, anti-codon, and T loops). The record is from RNAcentral. Lineage: Bacteria; Pseudomonadati; Pseudomonadota; Gammaproteobacteria; Cellvibrionales; Halieaceae.